UAACCAUGAUGUGGACAAGUAAUUAGAAGGUCUUUGAAGCGCUCCUAAGCUUGAAAAAACAGUUCAUUCCCCUUUUGAGAGAACGGCAUGAUUUUCUGUUUAAGUGC
Molecule: small nucleolar RNA, 107 nt
Organism: Magnolia sinica
Lineage: Eukaryota; Viridiplantae; Streptophyta; Magnoliopsida; Magnoliales; Magnoliaceae
Source: RefSeq, a predicted model, not a curated record